RNAcentral lists this ribosomal RNA (904 nucleotides) under uncultured marine bacterium. Its description in RNAcentral is "bacterial SSU rRNA". It matches the Rfam family "Bacterial small subunit ribosomal RNA", at positions 56 to 940 of the family's 1533-position model. The record is from RNAcentral.
UGCAGUCGAGCGCGAAAGUGACUUCGGUCACGAGUAGAGCGGCGGACGGGUGAGUAACACGUGGAUAACCUACCUGCGAGCGGGGGACAACUCGGGGAAACUUGAGCUAAUACCGCAUGCGCUCGCACGAUCUCGAUCGUGUGAGGAAAGACGGCCUCUUCUUGAAAGCUGUCACUCGCAGAGGGGUCCGCGUCUGAUUAGCUAGUUGGUGGGGUAACGGCCUACCAAGGCGACGAUCAGUAGCCGGCCUGAGAGGGUGAUCGGCCACACUGGAACUGAGACACGGUCCAGACUCCUACGGGAGGCAGCAGUGGGGAAUAUUGGACAAUGGGCGAAAGCCUGAUCCAGCAACGCCGCGUGGAGGAUGACGGUUUUCGGAUUGUAAACUCCUGUCAGGUGGGACGAAAAGAGCUGGUGAAUAGCCAGACUCGUUGACGGUACCACCAGAGGAAGCCCCGGCUAACUCCGUGCCAGCAGCCGCGGUAAUACGGAGGGGGCGAGCGUUAUUCGGAGUUAUUGGGCGUAAAGGGCGCGUAGGCGGCCUGAUAAGUCAGGGGUGAAAUCCCUCGGCUCAACCGAGGAACUGCCUCUGAAACUGUCAAGCUAGAGGCCGGGAGAGGGUAGCGGAAUUCCCAGUGUAGCGGUGAAAUGCGUAGAUAUUGGGAGGAACACCAGUGGCGAAGGCGGCUACCUGGACCGGUUCUGACGCUGAGGCGCGAAAGUGUGGGGAGCAAACAGGAUUAGAUACCCUGGUAGUCCACACUGUAAACGAUGAGCACUCGGUGCAGCGGGUGUCGACUCCUGCUGUGCCUUAGGUAACCCGUUAAGUGCUCCGCCUGGGGAGUACGGUCGCAAGGCUGAAACUCAAAGGAAUUGACGGGGGCCCGCACAAGCGGUGGAGCAU